Molecule: ribosomal RNA, 253 nt
Filed under: uncultured bacterium
Lineage: Bacteria
Description: partial 16S ribosomal RNA
Rfam family: Bacterial small subunit ribosomal RNA
Source: RNAcentral
UACGGAGGGGGCGAGCGUUGUCCGAAGUUACUGGGCGUAAAGCGCACGUAGGCGGCUUUGCAAGUCGGGUGUGAAAGCCCGGGGCUCAACCCCGGAAGUGCAUUCGAAACUGCAGAGCUUGAGUCUUGGAGAGGGUGGUGGAAUUCCGAGUGUAGAGGUGAAAUUCGUAGAUAUUCGGAGGAACACCAGUGGCGAAGGCGACCACCUGGACAAAGACUGACGCUGAGGUGCGAAAGCGUGGGAAGCAAACAGG